UACAGAGGGUGCGAGCGUUAAUCGGAAUUACUGGGCGUAAAGGGCGCGUAGGCGGCCUGCUAAGUCGAACGUGAAAUCCCUGGGCUCAACCCAGGAACUGCGUCCGAUACUGGUUGGCUUGAAUCCGGGAGAGGGAUGCGGAAUUCCAGGUGUAGCGGUGAAAUGCGUAGAUAUCUGGAGGAACACCGGUGGCGAAGGCGGCAUCCUGGACCGGUAUUGACGCUGAGGCGCGAAAGCCAGGGGAGCAAACGGG
This 253-nucleotide ribosomal RNA is filed under the name uncultured bacterium. Its description in RNAcentral is "partial 16S ribosomal RNA". It matches the Rfam family "Bacterial small subunit ribosomal RNA", at positions 524 to 776 of the family's 1533-position model. The record is from RNAcentral.